Molecule: unclassified non-coding RNA, 192 nt
Filed under: uncultured cyanobacterium
Lineage: Bacteria; Bacillati; Cyanobacteriota
Description: partial 16S-23S ribosomal RNA intergenic spacer
Source: RNAcentral
CGGUUCGAGUCCGCUUACCUCCACUGAACUACCUUCUGAAAUCGAAGUCUUGGGAGACUUUUCUUCGAUGUGAUCUAGAAUUUGUUCUUGAAUUAUACGAACCUAGCUUCUUAUCAUCCAAUCAUAAUUAUUCAUGGUUUCGUUGAUAUGACGCUGGGCUCUCCUGCAAUUUUAUUGCAGAAAAGUUCAGUA